GAUCAUGGCUCAGGAUGAACGCUAGCUACAGGCUUAACACAUGCAAGUCGAGGGGCAGCAUCAUCAAAGCUUGCUUUGAUGGAUGGCGUCCGGCGCACGGGUGAGUAACACGUAUCCAACCUGCCGACAACACUGGGAUAGCCUUUCGAAAGGAAGAUUAAUACCGGAUGGCAUAAUUAUUCCGCAUGGGAUAAUUAUUAAAGAAUUUCGGUUGUCGAUGGGGAUGCGUUCCA
Molecule: ribosomal RNA, 233 nt
Filed under: uncultured bacterium
Lineage: Bacteria
Description: partial 16S ribosomal RNA
Rfam family: Bacterial small subunit ribosomal RNA
Source: RNAcentral